Molecule: ribosomal RNA, 1010 nt
Filed under: uncultured bacterium
Lineage: Bacteria
Description: bacterial SSU rRNA
Rfam family: Bacterial small subunit ribosomal RNA
Source: RNAcentral
AGAGUUUGAUCCUGGCUCAGGAUGAACGCUGGCGGCGUGCUUAACACAUGCAAGUCGAACGAACCUUCGGGUUAGUGGCGGACGGGUGAGUAACGCGUGAGAAUCUGCCCUCAGGAGGGGGAUAACGGUUGGAAACGACCGCUAAUACCCCAUAUGCCGAGAGGUGAAAUGAAUUUCGCCUGAGGAUGAGCUCGCGUCUGAUUAGUUAGUUGGUGGGGUAAUGGCCUACCAAGACAUCGAUCAGUAGCUGGUCUGAGAGGAUGAUCAGCCACACUGGGACUGAGACACGGCCCAGACUCCUACGGGAGGCAGCGGUGGGGAAUUUUCCGCAAUGGGCGAAAGCCUGACGGAACAACGCCGCGUGAGGGAUGAAGGCCUCUGGGCUGUAAACCUCUUUUAUCAAGGAAGAAGAUCUGACGGUACUUGAUGAAUAAGCCACGGCUAAUUCCGUGCCAGCAGCCGCGGUAAUACGGGAGUGGCAAGCGUUAUCCGGAAUUAUUGGGCGUAAAGCGUCCGCAGGCGGUCUGUCAAGUCUGCUGUUAAAGCGUGGAGCUUAACUCCAUUUCGGCAGUGGAAACUGACAGACUAGAGUGUGGUAGGGGCAGAGGGAAUUCCCGGUGUAGCGGUGAAAUGCGUAGAUAUCGGGAAGAACACCAGUGGCGAAGGCGCUCUGCUGGGCCAUAACUGACGCUCAUGGACGAAAGCCAGGGGAGCGAAAGGGAUUAGAUACCCCUGUAGUCCUGGCCGUAAACGAUGAACACUAGGUGUCGGGGGAAUCGACCCCCUCGGUGUCGUAGCCAACGCGUUAAGUGUUCCGCCUGGGGAGUACGCACGCGAGUGUGAAACUCAAAGGAAUUGACGGGGGCCCGCACAAGCGGUGGAGUAUGUGGUUUAAUUCGAUGCAACGCGAAGAACCUUACCAGGGUUUGACAUCCUGCGAAUCUCUUGGAAACGAGAGAGUGCCUUCGGGAACGCAGUGACAGGUGGUGCAUGGCUGUCGUCAGCUCGUG